GCAGGGGGAAGGGGAUGCUUGCAUUGAUGUCUCUCCUGCCAUCCUCCCCUCUCCCCCUGCAG
This is a microRNA precursor of Chlorocebus sabaeus (green monkey), 62 nucleotides long. The record is from Ensembl. NCBI's taxonomy places the organism in Eukaryota, Metazoa, Chordata, Mammalia, Primates, Cercopithecidae.